GUGGGUUUUAACCCAACAUAGCACAAAGGAUGAGAAAGGCAAUCUGCACUCUGCAGUCUCUGAGAGUAGGCAAUAGUUUUAGGUGUGAGAUUCAAAUCCAAUUCAUUUUUUCUUCUAAAAAUGUAUACUAUCAUAGUGAGAACAUUUUUGUCUCCUUGGAUAUAGAAGCACUUUGCCAAACAACAAAAUUUCCCAUGUUGCAGCUUCAUUCUUAAUUUCUCCCAAGAAAUUAGUUUUUCGCACUUGGGUGUCAUAAAAGAAAUCCAAUCUUGAACAGACCUCAUACUAAGUUACUAAAUUUUAUUUGAAGAAGCAUGCUAGUCUUGUAGUUAUAGUAAAUUUAUUUUCUUUAUCAAAAUUAAAUUUAAAAAUAAAUAAAUCCACAAUGAUACACAACCUAGGUUGAAUUCCCCAAUUAGGAUGUAUGAAGACUGCAUCACAAUUUACGCCACCUAACAACAAAACUCCACUUUCACUACAUAUAUACUCCAAGGCUGUUCUAAUAAUAGAAGAAAAAGAAAUUUACAUAUGAACGCAUGCAUAUAAAAACUUUAAAAUCAGCACUCUAACAGAUUUCAUUAUCCAUCUUACAUAUGCAUUCCACAAUCAUUCAUAUACAAAAAAAUAACCCAGAUAGUAUAGUAAAUGCUCCCCCCUUUGUUGUUAACAUAUUCUUACAUCUUCAUAUUUAUUCAAUAGCUUUUUCUGCUACAUUGCUUCUUUACUCCUCUAGGAUCCAUUUUUUUCCCUUGAUGCUUUACCGAGUUUAUUUUCACAUUCACUUUUUAUGUUUCAUUAUGUACAAAUUACCCAAUAUGGACUCCAGCAGGAUAAGGUUUGCCUUACAUUACUCAACACUUUGCACUUAUGUUUGUAACUUGGAUAAUUAUCAUGCUGCUUAUGGUCAACCUCUUAAGGCUCAACAAUGUCAAUUCAAAGUCUCCUCCAUAAGGAAUCCCAGCCUAAUAUCUUAAGAAAAAGGUCCACAAACAAUAGGAUCCCAACACAUUUAUAUAUUGAGCUUC
Molecule: unclassified non-coding RNA, 1025 nt
Filed under: Hevea brasiliensis (rubber tree)
Lineage: Eukaryota; Viridiplantae; Streptophyta; Magnoliopsida; Malpighiales; Euphorbiaceae
Source: RNAcentral